UAUGAAGAUAGUCCCGUUUCCAAGAAAUCCUCAAAGCUCUCCAAAUAUCCUCUUGCAGAUUCUACAAAAAGAGUGUUUCAAAACUGCUCUAUCAAAAGAAAUGUUCAACUCUGAAGUUGAGUAAACACAUCACAAAGUAGUUUCUGAGAAUGCUUCUGUGUAGUUUUUGUGGGAAGAUAUUUCCUUUUUCACCUUAAGCCUGAAAGCAAUCCAAAUGUCCACUUCCAGACACUACAAAAAGAGUGUUUCAAACCUGCUCUAU
RNAcentral lists this long non-coding RNA (262 nucleotides) under Homo sapiens (human). RNAcentral's name for it is "HSALNT0035687". The record is from RNAcentral. Lineage: Eukaryota; Metazoa; Chordata; Mammalia; Primates; Hominidae.